This 484-nucleotide ribosomal RNA is filed under the name uncultured bacterium. RNAcentral's name for it is "partial 16S ribosomal RNA". It matches the Rfam family "Bacterial small subunit ribosomal RNA", at positions 28 to 523 of the family's 1533-position model. The record is from RNAcentral.
GACGAACGCUGGCGGCGUGCUUAACACAUGCAAGUCGAACGAUGAACCCGGAGCUUGCUCCGGCGGAUUAGUGGCGAACGGGUGAGUAACACGUGAGUAACCUGCCCUUGACUCUGGGAUAACUGCGGGAAACUGUAGCUAAUACCGGAUACGACCCUCGGCGGCAUCGCCAGGGGGUGGAAAGAAUUUCGGUCAAGGAUGGACUCGCGGCCUAUCAGCUAGUUGGUGAGGUAACGGCUCACCAAGGCGACGACGGGUAGCCGGCCUGAGAGGGUGACCGGCCACACUGGGACUGAGACACGGCCCGGACUCCUACGGGAGGCAGCAGUGGGGAAUAUUGCACAAUGGGUGCAAGCCUGAUGCAGCAACGCCGCGUGAGGGAUGACGGCCUUCGGGUUGUAAACCUCUUUCAGCAUCGACGAAGCGAAAGUGACGGUAGGUGCAGAAGAAGGACCGGCCAACUACGUGCCAGCAGCCGCCGUAA